Molecule: ribosomal RNA, 501 nt
Filed under: uncultured bacterium
Lineage: Bacteria
Description: partial 16S ribosomal RNA
Rfam family: Bacterial small subunit ribosomal RNA
Source: RNAcentral
AUUGAACGCUGGCGGCAGGCUUAACACAUGCAAGUCGAGCGGGGGAAGGUAGCUUGCUACCGGACCUAGCGGCGGACGGGUGAGUAAUGCUUAGGAAUCUGCCUAUUAGUGGGGGACAACAUCUCGAAAGGGAUGCUAAUACCGCAUACGUCCUACGGGAGAAAGCAGGGGAUCUUCGGACCUUGCGCUAAUAGAUGAGCCUAAGUCGGAUUAGCUAGUUGGUGGGGUAAAGGCCUACCAAGGCGACGAUCUGUAGCGGGUCUGAGAGGAUGAUCCGCCACACUGGGACUGGGACACGGCCCAGACUACUACGGGAGGCUGCAGUGGGGAAUAUUGGACAAUGGGGGGAACCCUGAUCCAGCCAUGCCGCGUGUGUGAAGAAGGCCUUAUGGUUGUAAAGCACUUUAAGCGAGGAGGAGGCUACUCUAGUUAAUACCUAGGGAUAGUGGACGUUACUCGCAGAAUAAGCACCGGCUAACUCUGUGCCAGCCGCCGCCGUAA